Molecule: long non-coding RNA, 793 nt
Filed under: Panax ginseng (ginseng)
Lineage: Eukaryota; Viridiplantae; Streptophyta; Magnoliopsida; Apiales; Araliaceae
Description: long non-coding RNA (PGIN_LNC003586)
Source: RNAcentral
UUCUCUCCUUCCAAAUCAAAUUCAAAGAUCUACUCUCUUUCUUUUGGGUUUUAUUUUCUUUGUUUUUCUCAGAUCUGCAAGAUAAUAGGGAAUUAUAGGUUUUGUACUUUUUAGAUAUUUUCACAUAUUCGUAUUGGUGCUACAGAUGCAAUCGAUUAGUUAGGGUUUUGAGGCUGCAGGAAGACUCUCUUGUCCUGAUUGCAACGGAGGAUUCAUUGAGUCGAUCUAGACUCCGACCCGACCCCCACUCUCGGAUUCCCGACGACGACGUUUUUCGCCGGCGGCGAUGUGGGGAUCGGGUAGAUUUCAGUUCCCUUUUUGCAGGCUUUGUUCCUUGGUUUUGGAUUUUUUUCAGGCAAGCUAUGUGCUCAAUUAGAUUGCUUCCUCCCAUAAUACUAGAUUCAAUUCCAUCAGAUUUGGGUCUCAGAAUCCCCACUAAAUAUUCUCAAGGAAAAUGGGAUUUUGUGAACUGGGUUCUUGCUAAUAUCCCAUUUAUUUGAAGAAUUAUUUGUUUUCUUGUCUUUGGAUGUAAAGAUACAAUUUUACAAUUGGGAAUAUUUUGGUUUGUGAUGAUUUGGUUGGUUUAUGUAUGGGUUCUUUUUCAUUGACCCUCGCUUUAAGCAAAGUCAUCAAUUCAAUAACCAAUUUCUUCUCGUCAGACACCGAUGUCAAUUCCAAACCCAAUUUCCUGAUCUUCCCCAAUUGUUCGCCAUUCAAACUGCUGUAAAAAGUUUUAGCAAUCUCUCUUAAUGCUGAAUUCGCCGCAAGCCAUGCCCAAUUGGGAAUCCGUAAG